RNAcentral lists this ribosomal RNA (292 nucleotides) under uncultured bacterium. Its description in RNAcentral is "partial 16S ribosomal RNA". It matches the Rfam family "Bacterial small subunit ribosomal RNA", at positions 505 to 796 of the family's 1533-position model. The record is from RNAcentral.
GUGCCAGCCGCCGCGGUAAUACAGAGGUCCCGAGCGUUGUUCGGAUUCACUGGGCGUAAAGGGUGCGUAGGUGGUGGGGAAAGUCGGAUGUGAAAUCUCGGAGCUCAACUCCGAAAUGGCAUUGGAAACUACCCUGCUUGAGGUUUGGAGGGGGGACUGGAAUUCUCGGUGUAGCAGUGAAAUGCGUAGAUAUCGAGAGGAACACCAGUGGCGAAGGCGAGUCCCUGGACAAAACCUGACACUGAGGCACGAAAGCUAGGGGAGCAAACAGGAUUAGAAACCCGUGUAGUCC